ACCCUGCCUGCAAGGACCCAGGUAAGGGCGCCGAGAGAGGCUCGAGAAGGAAGCAUGCUCUGGUUGGGAGAUCUCAAAUUCCCUGAUGACUGGAGAGGAGUCGUUGGGGACAAAAGGGAAAGGGAGGAGCUGACAUUUAUUCUGGGCUCAGUGUAUGCCUGGCGUUUUGUAGUUUCUAAUUUAAUCCUCACAUUCCUGGUCAUUUCUCUUUUGCAACUAAAGAUGUAUUCAUAGGACCAGAGGAGACGGCCCCUGAUGCUACUCUGCUUGUACCCUGGUUCUUCCGGUGGAUGUCCCCUUCCCAGUGAGCCCUUCCCUGACCACCAUGCUUAAAAUGGAAACCCUCCCCCAUGGCUUGGAACUCUAUUCCCCUUCUCUCCUUCCUUCUUUUCCAAAGCACCCUCAUCAAAUACAGUAAAAUAUUGGUUUGCAAGCAUAAGUCGCUCCAGAAACAUGCUUGUAAUCCAAAGCACUUAUAUAUCAAAGGAAAUUUCAAGAAUCAUUGUUGUGAUCACAUACUACUCAUAUGGCAAGACAUCACUUGUUUAUCAAGUUAAAAUUUAUUAGAAAUGUGUGUUUGUCUUGCAGAACAUUCGCAGACCAAGUUACUCGAAAGCCAAGGUUUUACUGUGUAUUAAAUAGGUCUCCCUCCCCUCCCAGAAUGUAAGCUCCACGAGAGCAGAUUUUUCCAGUCUGUUCUGUUUACUGACAUGUU
Molecule: long non-coding RNA, 715 nt
Filed under: Lynx pardinus (Iberian lynx)
Lineage: Eukaryota; Metazoa; Chordata; Mammalia; Carnivora; Felidae
Source: RNAcentral